Molecule: long non-coding RNA, 1155 nt
Filed under: Takifugu rubripes (torafugu)
Lineage: Eukaryota; Metazoa; Chordata; Actinopteri; Tetraodontiformes; Tetraodontidae
Description: lncRNA (ENSTRUG00000031186.1)
Source: RNAcentral
AUGGACCACCUGGGAGCUGGUGAGUUUGUGUGGGUGAGCUGUGGCCGAGAGGCUCAGGCUCUUACCCUGGGGAACGUCCCCGUUCGACACCUCGGCCGAGCCUUGCGGGGCCUCGGAGGAGGACGAGGCGCCGAGGUUCUGAGAGUCCGACCUGCGCGGCUCCGCCUGCUGGUCGCAGAGGUCCAGGCUCACCUCGGGGUUGCUGGUGCGGUGGCGCUCGCGGGCGAUCCACUCCCUGAUGGAGAAGUCCUGGGAGCUGCACUUGGGCUUCAGCCGGUCCACAGCCGACAGCUCGGACCGGGAGCCCGAGCCCAUGUGGACGGGCCAGUCCCCCAACACGGACAGCUCUGCGAAGUCCCUCUGGCCCCCCAUGGUGUGCCUGCGCCUGAUGUUCUUCUUCCUGCUGCGGCCCUCUGGAGACCGGCUCCUCUGGCUGCCCACGCCGAACAUGUCGUCCACGGACACGCGCAGGCGCACCUUCAGCCUGUCGGUGAUCUUCAGCUUCCACGCGGGCUCGGCUUUGUCCAGCUCCCCGCGGGCCGAGGCGGCGAGGCUGCCCGUGGAGCGGCCUGUGGCCGAGCCCACCGCGCGCGCCAGCCUGCUGGAGUCCCUGUCGCCCGGGGCUGCUUCCAGCGACGUCUGGCUGGUGGCCUUCUGUUGGGCGGCUUUCUUCCUGGACAGCGUGUCGCACUCGAUCAGCCGGUGCGAGGGGAUCGGCCGCGGCGCCUCCUGCGCCCCGUCGCUCCUGGUAACUGUGAACACGGACAGGUCGCUCUCGCUGUCCGUCUCCGCCGCCCUCCCCUCGCUGACCAGCUCGCUCCGCUCGUCGUCUGCGUCGUCGCCGCCCCUGCUCUCCGCCACCGACUGCACCUCUGGACUCAGAGUGCUGAGCUCGGCGCCGGUCAGGAACGUCAUGGACGAUGUGGUGGAGUAGUCGGAGGUGAUGGAGCAAACCUCCGCACCGGGGCCGCUCGGGCCCGCCUCCGGACCCUGAACCGCCGUCUGCCCCCGCCUCGGUCGGGGAACCGAUGCGUGAGAGCUGGUGCUGUUCAUCGUACCGAGGUCGGACACCGUGUCGUCGUAGUUCGAGGGCGGGUCCGACGGACAACACAGGUGGGCGACUGGCAGUCGGUAGCCGAGGGUGGGGGAGUGUGA